This 498-nucleotide ribosomal RNA is filed under the name Triticum aestivum (bread wheat). RNAcentral's name for it is "partial small subunit ribosomal RNA". The record is from RNAcentral. Lineage: Eukaryota; Viridiplantae; Streptophyta; Magnoliopsida; Poales; Poaceae.
AUGGGGGCGGGGGGAUCCUGGCGCUGGGCCGUGGGCGCGGUCUGCGGCGGGCUGGUCUACUACCACUGCGCGGUGCGGCGGGCGAGCGCGGUGUCCCUCGCCGCCGACGUGCUCCUCGUCCUCCUCUGCUCCCUCUCCAUCCUCGGCCUCCUCUUCCGCCACCUGCACAUCUCGGUGCCUGUGGAUCCUCUUGAGUGGCAGAUUUCUCAAGAGAUGGCAAAUAGUAUAGUUGCGUCCUUGGCUAACACAAUUGGAGCUGCGGAGUCUGUAUUGAGGGUGGCUGCAACUGGACAUGACAAGAAACUCUUGUUCAAGGUGGUUCUUACUCUGUAUUUCCUAGCAGCUUUGGGAAGGGUCGUCUCAGGCGCUGCUAUUGCCUAUGCUGCUCUGUGCAUCUUCUCCCUCUACAUGUUCGCGCAAAGCACCGACCAGUUUGAUCAGCUCCCUUGGGUUCCUUUAGGAAGAGACUCGCUGGGCGGCGCCCAGGAUACCACAUGA